AUACGUAGGGGGCGAGCGUUGUCCGGAAUGAUUGGGCGUAAAGGGCGCGUAGGCGGCGCGGUAAGUCUGGAGUGAAAGUCCUGCUUUCAAGGAGGGAAUUGCUUUGGAUACUGCCGCGCUUGAGUGCAGGAGAGGUUAUCGGAAUUCCCGGUGUAGCGGUGAAAUGCGUAGAGAUCGGGAGGAACACCAGUGGCGAAGGCGGGUAACUGGACUGCAACUGACGCUGAGGCGCGAAAGUGUGGGGAGCAAACAGGAUUAGAUACCCUGGUAGUCCACACUGUAAACGAUGAAUGCUAGGUGUAAGAGGUAUCGACCCCUUUUGUGCCGGAGUCAACACAAUAAGCAUUCCGCCUGGGGAGUACGGCCGCAAGGUUGAAACUUAAAGGAAUUGACGGGG
Molecule: ribosomal RNA, 397 nt
Filed under: uncultured bacterium
Lineage: Bacteria
Description: partial 16S ribosomal RNA
Rfam family: Bacterial small subunit ribosomal RNA
Source: RNAcentral